This 253-nucleotide ribosomal RNA is filed under the name uncultured bacterium. Its description in RNAcentral is "partial 16S ribosomal RNA". It matches the Rfam family "Bacterial small subunit ribosomal RNA", at positions 524 to 776 of the family's 1533-position model. The record is from RNAcentral.
UACGUAGGGUGCAAGCGUUGUCCGGAAUUAUUGGGCGUAAAGAGCUCGUAGGCGGUCUGUCGCGUCUGCUGUGAAAACCUGGGGCUUAACCCCGGGCCUGCAGCGGGUACGGGCAGACUAGAGUGCGGUAGGGGAGACUGGAAUUCCUGGUGUAGCGGUGAAAUGCGCAGAUAUCAGGAGGAACACCGGUGGCGAAGGCGGGUCUCUGGGCCGUAACUGACGCUGAGGAGCGAAAGCAUGGGGAGCGAACAGG